CCUGCGUGAGUUCAUCAUAUCGUCAGAGACUUCGGAGCCGGGGCGGAGGGAAAUGCGUCAUGGGUCCUCAGAUACCCAGGUUCUCCUUUGGAGGAGAGCUCACAAUGACGCAUCUGGGGACUUCCCUUCUCGUGCAAGGAGCAUGGAGGGGUGCCCUGGAUUAGAACGUGGUAGUGACAAGGGGCUGACGCCCUCAUCCCCCGGUACUGCAAAUCUGAUCUGGAUCUCUCCCGGUUACCGAACGCAAACUAAACUUCUCAAAGGAGCCAAUAAGACAUUUAAAGUCACAGGGAGACUAGCCCUGAGGUGAAUUGUCGUGGACCUUUUUAAGGCACAAAUUAUAUGAAACCUACCUUAAACCGA
Hemicordylus capensis (graceful crag lizard) is the source of this 363-nucleotide long non-coding RNA. RefSeq lists it as uncharacterized. The record is from RefSeq and is a predicted model, not a curated record. The transcript has 2 exons. Lineage: Eukaryota; Metazoa; Chordata; Lepidosauria; Squamata; Cordylidae.